CAGCAGCCGCGGUAAUACGUAGGGUGCAAGCGUUAAUCGGAAUUACUGGGCGUAAAGCGUGCGCAGGCGGUUUGUUAAGACAGAUGUGAAAUCCCCGGGCUUAACCUGGGAACUGCAUUUGUGACUGGCAAGCUAGAGUAUGGCAGAGGGGGGUGGAAUUCCGCGUGUAGCAGUGAAAUGCGUAGAUAUGCGGAGGAACACCGAUGGCGAAGGCAGCCACCUGGGCCAAUACUGACGCUCAUGCACGAAAGCGUGGGGAGCAAACAGGAUUAGAUACCCCAGUAGUCCCUGUCUCUUAUAC
Molecule: ribosomal RNA, 301 nt
Filed under: uncultured bacterium
Lineage: Bacteria
Description: partial 16S ribosomal RNA
Rfam family: Bacterial small subunit ribosomal RNA
Source: RNAcentral